GCCGAGGUGGCUCAGUCCGGUACGGCGCGAGUCUGGAAAGCUCGUGGCGGAAUACGCCUCGGGAGUUCAAACACCGGGGACGGUCGACCCGUCCCGGGGGAAAAUCUCCCCCUCGGCG
Molecule: transfer RNA, 118 nt
Filed under: Thermoplasmata archaeon
Lineage: Archaea; Methanobacteriati; Thermoplasmatota; Thermoplasmata
Description: tRNA-Ser
Rfam family: tRNA
About the family: Transfer RNA (tRNA) molecules are approximately 80 nucleotides in length. Their secondary structure includes four short double-helical elements and three loops (D, anti-codon, and T loops). Further hydrogen bonds mediate the characteristic L-shaped molecular structure. tRNAs have two regions of fundamental functional importance: the anti-codon, which is responsible for specific mRNA codon recognition, and the 3' end, to which the tRNAs corresponding amino acid is attached (by aminoacyl-tRNA synthetases). tRNAs cope with the degeneracy of the genetic code in two manners: having more than one tRNA (with a specific anti-codon) for a particular amino acid; and 'wobble' base-pairing, i.e. permitting non-standard base-pairing at the 3rd anti-codon position.
Source: RNAcentral